AAGCACUAGUUUCCUAUCAGUACGAUUUCCAAAGUUAAGCAGCAUCAAGCCUGGUCAGUACUUUGAUGGGUAACCACUUGGGAAUACCAGGUUCUGUAAG
Molecule: non-coding RNA, 100 nt
Organism: Acanthosepion pharaonis
Lineage: Eukaryota; Metazoa; Mollusca; Cephalopoda; Sepiida; Sepiidae
Source: the annotation of a GenBank genome assembly